RNAcentral lists this ribosomal RNA (426 nucleotides) under Triticum aestivum (bread wheat). RNAcentral's name for it is "partial small subunit ribosomal RNA". The record is from RNAcentral. Lineage: Eukaryota; Viridiplantae; Streptophyta; Magnoliopsida; Poales; Poaceae.
AUGAAUUAUGCUUAUGGAGAUGAACUUGCUAUAAUUCCUUAUGUUAAACAUGAAAUUGUUGCUAUUGCACCCACUCAUAAUAGUCCUAUUAUCUUUUUGAAUUCUCCAAACUACACUCUAUCAGAGAAGUUUGUGCUUAUUAAGGAUUACAUUGAUGGGUUGCCUUUUACCAUUGCACAUGAUGAUUUUGAUAGAUAUAAUAUGCAUGUGCUUGCUGCUCCUACUUGCAAUUAUUAUGAGAGAGGAACUAUAUCUCCGCCUCUUUAUGUUUUCAAUAUGAUAAAAUUGCAAGAAACUGCUUAUACUAUGCAUUGGCCUUUACUAUGUGUGCAUGAAUUGUUCUUUUAUGACAUGCCGAUGCAUAGGAAGAGAGUUAGGGGCCGUUCGGAGGCCAUUCGCUCCCUGAGCGGACGGAGCUGCGGCUAG